Long non-coding RNA from Oncorhynchus keta (chum salmon), 763 nucleotides. RefSeq lists it as uncharacterized. The transcript has 5 exons. The record is from RefSeq and is a predicted model, not a curated record. NCBI's taxonomy places the organism in Eukaryota, Metazoa, Chordata, Actinopteri, Salmoniformes, Salmonidae.
CGUGCAACCGAAGUCUUUCAAGAUAUGUUUUCCCUCUGCAGGGAUUGAACAAUAUGUGCCAGAAGGGGCGUGGGCCGGAAUCAAACCCAUGCUGACACGGAAUUUCAUGAUGCACAGGAAACAUUUUCCAUGACAAAAGAGUUAACUACGGCACUGACGUAUAGUUGAUCGGGAGGGAGGAGCCAGAGAGCUUUGACGGCAUUGUGACCAAUCUGAGAGAUGUCGUCAUAGCAGCAACAGGAGCUGACUGUGCGCCCCUCCUCUUCACUGACCCUCAGGCCAAGGUCAUUGGAACUGUUCACAAACGGUGGAAAGAAACCCAUAUGGAAGUUGCCAUAGCUACAGUCAACGCAUGGUGACCGGGUUCGGCAGCAGCAUGUGGGAUGUCACUGUAGUGAUCAGGCCAUCGGUGGGGGCCUGUUGUUUUACGCUGUAGAGAGAGCAGGCUGUUCUAAUCUAUCUACCUUGACUGUGUUCUUGGCAUGGCUGAGGCCAGGCCUCAUACAACUAACCACCAGAAUACUUCUCCAGAGGGGUGGGGUCUUGCCUGAGCGUAUCCAUGACGACACGCUGAAUGACAGGCCGAGCGUGACCCUAUGCACAUCCUCUCACACUGAGGCCUUCUUCUCCCGCGUCAGGGACGGACUUAACUUUGGAACACAGGUGGGCUUCCUGUGGAUGGACUAACUGGAACUACUGACUGUUGUAUACAUUCAGCCAUAUCUGUCUGUUGCAUCCAACACAAAAAGGAUAUAUUCCAGAA